CAGUAGCCGCGGGAACACGGAGGGAGCUAGCGUUGUUCGGAAUUACUGGGCGUAAAGCGCGCGUAGGCGGUUACUCAAGUCAGAGGUGAAAGCCCGGGGCUCAACCCCGGAACUGCCUUUGAAACUAGGUGACUAGAAUCUUGGAGAGGUCAGUGGAAUUCCGAGUGUAGAGGUGAAAUUCGUAGAUAUUCGAAAGAACACCAGUGGCGAAGGCGACUGACUGGACAAGUAUUGACGCUGAGGUGCGAAAGCGUGGGGAGCAAACAGGAUUAGAUACCCGUGUAGUCCCUGUCUCUUAUAC
RNAcentral lists this ribosomal RNA (301 nucleotides) under uncultured bacterium. RNAcentral's name for it is "partial 16S ribosomal RNA". It matches the Rfam family "Bacterial small subunit ribosomal RNA", at positions 509 to 807 of the family's 1533-position model. The record is from RNAcentral.